GUGGUCAAGCUCCUAAGGGCACGGGGGGGAUGCCUAGGCGUCAUCAGAGAGACAGGCGUGGAAGGCUGCGAUAAGUCCAGGGGAGUUGCCCAACGAACGUCGAUCCUGGAAUGCCUGUAGAGACCCGGGGAACUGAAACAUCUCAGUACCCGGAGGAAAGGAAAUCAACCGAGACUCCCUCAGUAGCGGCGAGCGAACGGGGAUCAGCCUAAACCGAGUGGGACACCACUCGGGGUCGUGGGGCCGAUAACAUGGGAUGAGUGAGCGUCAGCUGAAGUCUCCUGGAACGGAGCGCCAGAGCGGGUGAUAGCCCCGUAAGCGACGAUGCAACCUCCCCUCUUCGGUACCCGAGUAGGGUCGGGCACGUGAAACCCGGCCUGAAUCGGCGGGGACCAUCCCGCAAGGCUAAGCACUCGAUGACGACCGAUAGCGAACCCAGUAGGGCGACCGAACGGUGGGAAGAACCCCGAUGAGGGGAGGAGACUGAACCUGAAACCCCGUGCCUACAAGCGGUGGGAGCGCGAUGUCUCUUCGGAGACCGCGUGACCGCGUGCCUUUUGCAUAAUGAUCCGGCGAGUUACUGUAUCCGGCCCCAGGUUAACCCCUUCAGGGGGGGAGCCGUAGCGAAAGCGAGUCUUCAUCGGGCGAAUUAGUCGGGUGCAGUAGACGCGAAACCAGGUGAACUACCCAUGGGCAGGUUGAAGCGACCCUAACCGGUCGUGGAGGACCGAACCCACCAGUGUUGAAAAACUGGGGGAGGACCCGUGGGGAGGAGUGAAAGUCUUAUCAAACCUGGAGAUAGCUCGUUCUCUCCGAAAUGGCUUUAGGGCCAGCCUCGGGACAUAUCACGCGGGGGUAGAGCGACGGAAUUCGGUAGGGGGGCUUCCCGCCUACCCUCCGAAACCCAACUCCGAAUACCGCGUGACGGACCCCGGGAGUCAGAACGUGGGGGAUAAGCUUCACGUUCAAAAGGGAAACAACCCAGACCGCCGACCAAGGCCCCCAAAUCGACGCUCAGUGGCAAAGGAAGUGGGAUCGCGGUGACAGCCGGGAUGUUGGCUUAGAAGCAGCCAUCAUUUCAAAAGUGCGUAACAGCUUACCGGUCGAGCCAUCCCGCGCCGAAAAUGACGGGGACUAAGCGUCGUGCCGCAGUCGCGGAUCAGGUUAAAAACUGAUGGUAGGAGAGCGUCGCCCACCGCAACGAAGCAGAAUGGAAACGAUCUGUGGAGCGUGGGCGAGUGCGAAUGCCGGAACGAGUAACGACAAGACAGGUGGGAAGCCUGUCCGCCGAAAGCACAAGGUUUCCUGGGGAAGGUCAAUCCGCCCAGGGUCAGUCGGGACCUAAGGCGAGGCCCAAGGGCGUAGCCGAUGGACAGACGGUUAAUAUUCCGCCACCCGAUGGUAAGGUUGAACGACAGAGGACGCCGGUUUCAGUCAGGUCGGGGUGCUAGAAUACCCCGUGCCGCAAGGCCGACAGCAUUCGAUCUGGAAGCCUGAUGCCAAGCCGGCCACGAAAAGCCCUGUCGGGACGAACCAUCCGGCCCGUACCGCAAUCCGACACAGGUGUGCUAGGCGAGUAUCCGAAGGCGUUCGGGAGAACCCUCGUGAAGGAACUCGGCAAAAUGACCCCGUACCUUCGGUAUAAGGGGUGCUCUCCGUAAGGAGAGCCGCAGAGAAUCGGCUCUAGCGACUGUUUAUCAAAAACACAGGACUCUGCCAACUCGCAAGAGGACGUAUAGAGUCUGACGCCUGCUCGGUGUCGGUAGGUUAAGGGAGCCGAUGAGGCGUAAGCUGAAGUUGGCGACCGAAGCCCCGAUAAACGGCGGCCGUAACUAUGACGGUCCUAAGGUAGCGAAGUUCCUUGUCGGGUAAGUUCCGACCUGCAUGAAUGGCGUAACGACUGGAGCACUGUCUCCACGAGGGACCCGGUGAAACUGUAGCCGUGGUGAAGAUGCCACGUACCCGCGGUCAGACGGAAAGACCCCGUGAACCUUUACUGCAGGUUGGCAUUGGGUCAGCGUCCUUUCUGUGUAGCAUAGGUGGGAGGCCGUGAUCCGGCGGCGCCAGCCGUCGGGGAGCCAUCGGUGAAAUACCACCCUGAAAUGACUCUGAUCCUCACCGGUCCGUAGCCCGGACCGGGACCAUGCUCAUCGGGCAGUUUGACUGGGGCGGUCUCCUCCCAAAGAGUAACGGAGGAGUGCAAUGGUACCCUCGGCCAGGUCGGCAAUCUGGCAACAUGAGCGCAAACGUAGAAGGGUGCCUGACUGCGAGACCCAUCAGUCGAGCAGGGACGAAAGUCGGCGUUAGUGAUCCGGCGGUGCUGGAUGGAAAGGCCGUCGCUCAACAGAUAAAAGGUACUCCGGGGAUAACAGGCUGAUCUCCCCCGAGCGUCCAUAGCGGCGGGGAGGUUUGGCACCUCGAUGUCGGCUCAUCGCAUCCUGGGGCUGGAGAAGGUCCCAAGGGUUUGGCUGUUCGCCAAUGAAAGCGGUACGCGAGCUGGGUUCAGACCGUCGUGAGACAGGUCGGUCCCUAUCUGCCGUGGGCGUAGGAAACUUGCGAAGGGUCUCCCCUAGUACGAGAGGAUUGGGGAGGACCGACCUCUGGUGUACCGGCUGUUCCGCUCGGGGCAUCGCCGGGUAGCUAGGUCGGGAAAGGAUAAGCGCUGAAGGCAUCUAAGCGCGAAGCCCUCUUCAAGACGAGGUUUCCAGCACGCAAGUGCGAAGGCUCCUGGAAGACGACCAGGUCGAUAGGCCGGGAGUGCACGGCGAGUGAUCGCCGCAGCCGACCGGUCCUAACAGCCGAUCGCUUGACCAC
Molecule: ribosomal RNA, 2814 nt
Filed under: Singulisphaera sp. GP187
Lineage: Bacteria; Pseudomonadati; Planctomycetota; Planctomycetia; Isosphaerales; Isosphaeraceae
Description: bacterial LSU rRNA
Rfam family: Bacterial large subunit ribosomal RNA
Source: RNAcentral